RNAcentral lists this non-coding RNA (88 nucleotides) under Rhodomicrobium vannielii ATCC 17100. Its description in RNAcentral is "sRNA-Xcc1". It matches the Rfam family "sRNA-Xcc1". The record is from Rfam by way of RNAcentral. Lineage: Bacteria; Pseudomonadati; Pseudomonadota; Alphaproteobacteria; Hyphomicrobiales; Hyphomicrobiaceae.
GGCCGGGUGUCUGCGGCUAUACAAUACCCGAAAGGGGAAGGCCGUAGGCGGGACCAGUGACCGUGUUCAAACACCCGGUCUCGCCCCU